GGGUGAGUAACGCGUGAGUAACCUGCCUUGGAGUGGGGAAUAACAGCUGGAAACAGCUGCUAAUACCGCAUGAUGCAGUUGGGUCGCAUGCUCUGACUGCCAAAGAUUUAUCGCUCUGAGAUGGACUCGCGUCUGAUUAGCUAGUUGGCGGGGCAACGGCCCACCAAGGCGACGAUCAGUAGCCGGACUGAGAGGUUGGCCGGCCACAUUGGGACUGAGACACGGCCCAGACUCCCACGGGAGGCAGCAGUGGGGAAUAUUGGGCAAUGGGCGCAAGCCUGACCCAGCAACGCCGCGUGAAGGAAGAAGGCUUUCGGGUUGUAAACUUCUUUUCUUAGGGACGAAGAAACGACGGUACCUAAGGAAUAAGCCACGGCUAACUACGUGCCAGCAGCCGCGGUAAUACGUAGGUGGCAAGCGUUAUCCGGAUUUACUGGGUGUAAAGGGCGUGUAGGCGGGACUGCAAGUCAGAUGUGAAAACCAUGGGCUCAACCUGUGGCCUGCAUUUGAAACUGUAGUUCUUGAGUACUGGAGAGGCAGACGGAAUUCCUAGUGUAGCGGUGAAAUGCGUAGAUAUUAGGAGGAACACCAGUGGCGAAGGCGGUCUGCUGGACAGCAACUGACGCUGAGGCGCGAAAGCGUGGGGAGCAAACAGGAUUAGAUACCCUGGUAGUCCACGCUGUAAACGAUGGAUACUAGGUGUGGGGG
RNAcentral lists this ribosomal RNA (708 nucleotides) under uncultured bacterium. Its description in RNAcentral is "bacterial SSU rRNA". It matches the Rfam family "Bacterial small subunit ribosomal RNA", at positions 104 to 828 of the family's 1533-position model. The record is from RNAcentral.